CAAUUCUUAGUAAAGUAUUAACAACUAUUGAUGGGAGACACAUUCUAAGUGAUGCUCCAUUGAAACUAGCAGAAGUUAACAGCACUGUUGAAAUUACAAUGUUACCGUACUCUCAGGUUAAAUAUUAACAUUUAUUUAUUUAUUUAUUAGGAGUGGCAGGCGUCUUUACAGAAAACAUUUGCUAACUAUUUCACGUCAUUAAUCACAGAAAGACGUCAUGUUACUCACAUCUCUGAAUCUUUCAUUCAUAGUCCGGCAAUGAAUGUAUCACAAAGUAUCAAAUCAAAUAUCAACUAUAGUUUAUUCACUAAAUAUGAAGAGUAGCAGACAUCUUUACAGAAAGCAGUUGCUAAAUAUUUCACAUCAUUGAUCACAGAAAGACGUCACAUUACUCACAUCUCUGAAUCUUUCAUUCAUAGUCCGGCAAUGAAUGUAUCAUUAAGUAUCAAAUCAAAUCAAUCAAGAAAUAUCAACUAAUUUAUUCACAGAAUAUGAAGAGUGGUUAUCAUUAUUCAUUAGUGAUAUUAUUACAUAUGUGUAAGUUGAUCGUAAGAUGAAGAAAGCUGGAUUUCUAAGAUACACACAAAUUAACAGCAGAAGCAUUGUGGAGAAAAGUCAUUCUCAGGAUUCUGGUGUACUGGUUGAACUGUGUGGACAUAUUUAAAUAUUUGUAUCAUCUCUUUUAUAAACAU
This 692-nucleotide long non-coding RNA is filed under the name Amphimedon queenslandica. Its description in RNAcentral is "uncharacterized LOC109590577, transcript variant X3". Lineage: Eukaryota; Metazoa; Porifera; Demospongiae; Haplosclerida; Niphatidae. The record is from RNAcentral.